UACGGAGGACCCGAGCGUUAUCCGGAUUCAUUGGGUUUAAAGGGUGCGUAGGCGGACGAAUAAGUCAGUGGUGAAAGCCCUUCGCUUAACGAAGGAAUUGCCAUUGAUACUGUUUGUCUUGAGUACAGUUGAGGUGGGCGGAAUGUGUCGUGUAGCGGUGAAAUGCUUAGAUAUGACACAGAACACCGAUUGCGAAGGCAGCUCGCUAAACUGAAACUGACGCUGAGGCACGAAAGCGUGGGGAUCGAACAGG
This 253-nucleotide ribosomal RNA is filed under the name uncultured bacterium. RNAcentral describes it as "partial 16S ribosomal RNA". It matches the Rfam family "Bacterial small subunit ribosomal RNA", at positions 524 to 776 of the family's 1533-position model. The record is from RNAcentral.